AGGGUUUGAUCCUGGCUCAGGACGAACGCUGGCGGCGUGCCUAAUACAUGCAAGUCGAGCGAAUCAUAAGGUGCUUGCACCUUAUGGUUAGCGGCGGACGGGUGAGUAACACGUGGGCAACCUGCCUGUAAGACUGGGAUAACUUCGGGAAACCGGAGCUAAUACCGGAUAAUCCUUUUCCUCUCAUGAGGAAAAGCUGAAAGUCGGUUUCGGCUGACACUUACAGAUGGGCCCGCGGCGCAUUAGCUAGUUGGUGAGGUAACGGCUCACCAAGGCGACGAUGCGUAGCCGACCUGAGAGGGUGAUCGGCCACACUGGGACUGAGACACGGCCCAGACUCCUACGGGAGGCAGCAGUAGGGAAUCUUCCGCAAUGGACGAAAGUCUGACGGAGCAACGCCGCGUGAGCGAUGAAGGCCUUCGGGUCGUAAAGCUCUGUUGUUAGGGAAGAACAAGUACCGGAGUAACUGCCGGUACCUUGACGGUACCUAACCAGAAAGCCACGGCUAACUACGUGCCAGCAGCCGCGGUAAUACGUAGGUGGCAAGCGUUGUCCGGAAUUAUUGGGCGUAAAGCGCGCGCAGGCGGUCCUUUAAGUCUGAUGUGAAAGCCCACGGCUCA
RNAcentral lists this ribosomal RNA (620 nucleotides) under uncultured Bacillus sp. RNAcentral's name for it is "bacterial SSU rRNA". It matches the Rfam family "Bacterial small subunit ribosomal RNA", at positions 8 to 611 of the family's 1533-position model. Lineage: Bacteria; Bacillati; Bacillota; Bacilli; Caryophanales; Bacillaceae. The record is from RNAcentral.